This 325-nucleotide ribosomal RNA is filed under the name uncultured eukaryote. Its description in RNAcentral is "partial 18S ribosomal RNA". It matches the Rfam family "Eukaryotic small subunit ribosomal RNA", at positions 1470 to 1796 of the family's 1831-position model. The record is from RNAcentral.
CCCUUAGAUGUUCUGGGCCGCACGCGCGCUACACUGAUGCAUUCAACGAGUCUAAAACCUGGUCUGAUAGGGCUGGGUAAUCUUUUGAAAGUGCAUCGUGAUAGGGAUAGACUAUUGCAAUUAUUGGUCUUCAACGAGGAAUUCCUAGUAGACGUAGUUCAUCAGACUGCAUCGAUUACGUCCCUGCCCUUUGUACACACCGCCCGUCGCUCCUACCGAUUGAAUGCUCAGGUGAGCCAUUCGGACUUUCAUCAUGCUGGUUUCCAGUUUUGAUGAAGGAAAGUCUUGCGAACCUUAUCAUUUAGAGGAAGGAGAAGUCGUAACA